AGGCUGCAACUCACCUACAUGAAGUCGGAAUCGCUAGUAAUCGCGGAUCAGCAUGCCGCGGUGAAUACGUUCCCGGGCCUUGUACACACCGCCCGUCACACCAUGAGAGUUUGUAACACCCAAAGCCGGUGGGGUAACCUUUUGGAGCCAGCCGUCUAAGGUGGGACAGAUGAUUGGGGUGAAGUCGUAACAAGGUACC
This 199-nucleotide ribosomal RNA is filed under the name uncultured bacterium. RNAcentral describes it as "partial 16S ribosomal RNA". It matches the Rfam family "Bacterial small subunit ribosomal RNA", at positions 1302 to 1500 of the family's 1533-position model. The record is from RNAcentral.